CUUCCCUGCUGUCUGUCUCCAGACCCCACUGGGUGGCCAGAAACGCAGUUUUUCCCACCUGCUGCCCUCACCUGAGCCCAGCCCAGAAGGCAGCUACGUGGGCCAGCACUCCCAGGGCCUUGGUGGCCACUACGCGGACUCCUACCUGAAGCGGAAGAGGAUUUUCUAAGGGGUCAGCGCCAGAGAUGCUCCAAGGGCCUGCACCAAGUUGCUUUUGGGUUCUUUCUGGUAUUUGUGUUUUGUGGGAUUUUAUUUUUAUUAUUUUUUUUAUGUCCUUUCUUUGGGUAAUAGAGAAAUCUCUGCAAAAGACUUUGGUGACCAACCAGCUGGAGCUCAAGGAAUGUGGGGUAUCUGGGGGCCAUACCAUUACCUGUGGGCUUGCUCCUGGAACCAAACCCUGCAGCCUUAAGAGAGAGGGGCCUGGCCUGCUCUCUUUCCCUCCCCAGCUCCUGGCCUUCUGUGUUGGCUCUCCAGGCCUCCUCUCCUGCCUCAUCACUCCUGUGUUCUGGCCUUUUGAGUGCCUUUGGAGGUGUCCCUGACCUGUGAGGAUCAGAGACAGUCCCCGUUUUUAAACUUCGACAAUUAACUUUGAUUUCCUUUUCUAAUUUUUAUUAUUUUUUAAAACAACCAGGAUGAUGACCACAUCCACUCCCCUAUCCCUCCAGAAAGCCCCAACUUGAUUUCUUCAGGGUCUGGCCUUCCCUGGGCCUCUGUUCCAACAGCUUAACCCCAUUCUCUUCCCAGUCAUCUGCUGCAGGUAUAGCUGUGUCAUGCCCCUGCCUGCCUACUCCGGCCAGUACCCUAAGCCCCAGGAUCUCCAGCCCCUGCCUUCUGAUGCCUUAAAGUUGGGCCACAGGUCCUGCUGGGUCAGAGCCUCUCAGAUGCGGAGCUCCAAAAGCUCAGCUCAGGACCAAAGAGCUCUGGCCUAGGGUUCAUCCUUUCUCCAGGGUGUCUGCCCUCUGGACAGAAGGCCAAAGCCUUGGUCUUGGCAAACCACCCCUUUUGCCCUAAGCUUGGGUGCAGAGACCAGUAUUUUCUGCUGGCUUCAACAGUGUCCCCUGCUGUCUGUGAAAGGUGACCAUUGUACCCAGGCCACUGGACCUCUACCAUGUUCCUUCAAACCCAGAUCAUCACCAUCCCCAGGCUGGAUCACUGGAGCAGGUCUCCUCUCUGCCCAUCUGAGGGGACCUAGGGACUCUGCCCCUGGCCAGCUGAGCCACCACCAGCCUCCCUCCUCAAACCUGAUGAACCAAACUCACUCCAGUAGGGGGCAUUCCCUCCCCUUUCCCCCUUCCUGCCCUCCCCUGCUCCCUGACCUUUGCUGAAUUAAAGUUUGUAAGUAAACGGUUUUAAGAAAAAAACAUCAGAGCU
RNAcentral lists this long non-coding RNA (1371 nucleotides) under Rattus norvegicus (Norway rat). Its description in RNAcentral is "long non-coding RNA NONRATT028314". The record is from RNAcentral. Lineage: Eukaryota; Metazoa; Chordata; Mammalia; Rodentia; Muridae.